Molecule: ribosomal RNA, 468 nt
Filed under: uncultured bacterium
Lineage: Bacteria
Description: partial 16S ribosomal RNA
Rfam family: Bacterial small subunit ribosomal RNA
Source: RNAcentral
GACGAACGCUGGCGGCGUGCUUAACACAUGCAAGUCGAACGGAAAGGCCCUGCUUUUGUGGGGUGCUCGAGUGGCGAACGGGUGAGUAACACGUGAGUAACCUGCCCUUGACUUUGGGAUAACUUCAGGAAACUGGGGCUAAUACCGGAUAGGAUCUCCUGCUGCAUGGUGGGGGUUGGAAAGUUUCGGCGGUUGGGGAUGGACUCGCGGGUUAUCAGCUUGUUGGUGGGGUAGUGGCUUACCAAGGCUUUGACGGGUAGCCGGCCUGAGAGGGUGGCCGGCCACAUUGGGACUGAGAGAGGGCGCAGACUGGAAUGGGAGGCAGCAGUGGGGGAUAUUAUACAGUGGGAGGGAGCCUGAGGCAACGGCGCCGCGGGUGGAAAGACGGUUUGCGGGUUGUAAACCGCUGCCGCUUGUGACGAAGCGUGAGUGACGGUAACGGGAGAAGAAGCACCGGCUAACUACGUG